This 506-nucleotide ribosomal RNA is filed under the name uncultured bacterium. RNAcentral describes it as "partial 16S ribosomal RNA". It matches the Rfam family "Bacterial small subunit ribosomal RNA", at positions 29 to 523 of the family's 1533-position model. The record is from RNAcentral.
AUUGAACGCUGGCGGCAGGCCUAACACAUGCAAGUCGGACGGUAGCACAGAGGAGCUUGCUCCUCGGGUGACGAGUGGCGGACGGGUGAGUAAUGUCUGGGGAUCUGCCCGAUAGAGGGGGAUAACCACUGGAAACGGUGGCUAAUACCGCAUAACGUCGCAAGACCAAAGAGGGGGACCUUCGGGCCUCUCACUAUCGGAUGAACCCAGAUGGGGUUAGCUAGUAGGCGGGGUAACGGCCCGCCUAGGCGACGAUCCCUAGCUGGUCUGAGAGGAUGACCAGCCACACUGGAACUGGGACACGGUCCAGACUCCUACGGGAGGCAGCAGUGGGGAAUAUUGCACAAUGGGCGCAAGCCUGAUGCAGCCAUGCCGCGUGUAUGAAGAAGGCCUUCGGGUUGUAAAGUACUUUCAGCGGGGAGGAAGGCGAUGUGGUUAAUAACCGCGUCGAUUGACGUUACCCGCAGAAGAAGCACCGGCUAACUCCGUGCCAGCAGCCGCCGUAA